This 1303-nucleotide long non-coding RNA is filed under the name Dermacentor andersoni. Its description in RNAcentral is "uncharacterized LOC126542451". Lineage: Eukaryota; Metazoa; Arthropoda; Arachnida; Ixodida; Ixodidae. The record is from RNAcentral.
ACCCCAGCAAAGACACGUGUUGAUCAUGUCAACCGGAGUGCUACAGAAGCCAACAAGAAAUUACAGCUGCAGUUAAUUUUUGAUGCCUUUGGCCAUGCACACAGAACCUGCAACCAUUUACAACAAGAGUAGGGAGCAGUUGGUGCACUUCUAGAAGUACAUGGAAAUGCUACAGGUUAUGAACUUUUGCCCAAGCUUAUACCACAUGGCAAUGUGAACAAGUCUGCACAUUCUUUUUUGCAUUAAAUUCACCAUGGCAUGUCAAGUUACAAUCAUUUACAUGAGUGGCCUUACAAGUGCUGCAAUCAACUUCUGCAGUGUUCGGAAAGUUCAUGCCUCGCAUGCUUUAGGUGCAGUUGUAAAACCAACCGCAAGUGCACUAUAGGGAAAGCAUUGAUGUGAGAAACUGGACUGGAAAUGCAGUGUGCAAUAGGCCUCUGCAGGACUUCCAAGUGCAAUGUCCUGCAGUCCAACUGUGUACCAUGCUUUGCUGUUCGAGUUUAAACUCUGUUUACUUACUGUGUUCAAACAAGGCUAAGAAAAAGAACCUAUGCUGCUCCAGGUAUUCCAGCAGAACAAUGAUGUUUUCUAACUCCCCAUGAUUUAAGCAUCCCUCCAUUCUAAUGCAGAAACAAACACGUAAUGCUCUUAGUCUUUAUUUUUUUUUAUGUUGACCACACAACGAAAGAAAUCAACAAUACAGUCAUGAAGGAGCAAGUCUAAAAUGUUUCUAAAGCGUAUGUACAAUAAAAAUAAUGUAAACGUAUUCACUUCCAUGUCCAGUCCAACAUACCGCUCGUUUGCUUCCAGUGCAACAUAUCCUUUACGGCAUCUUGCAUCAAAACCUACCAUGAAACUGAAUUUGCACUUUUUCUCUUUCUCUGCUGUCGUUUAAACCUUAAUUUGGAAGCCUACAGUAUACAUCUUUUGGAAAUAGGUAGAAUGAAAGCUGCUUUCCAAAUGUGCUAAGUAAACUGUCUGCAAGUAUUUGAAUUCUUUCCGGAAAACAAGUGAGACAGACAAGCAAGCACGACAUAAUUUCACUUUAAAAUUCUUUGUUACAAUGAGGGCUUUUAGUAGCAUGCCAAGAAACAUUUGGGCAUGGUGGCUGAUGUCUUGAGCCUUUAACACUGUGUGUACAUGACCUGUGCCACCAUGCAGACGUGUCACAGCUUGCAACAGGUAGAGCAAAAGACAUGACAAUGUUCGCACCUUUAAUGGCCUAAUAUUGAAGCAAGCAGCCACACUAGUGGGGUGCUGCAGUUUGUAGAGAACAGGAAAUAAAUUAUGAUAAUUACCUCCA